GCUGUUAUGGCUCAGGUGGUAGAGCACAUCCUUGGUAAGGAUGAGGUCCCCGGUUCGAGUCCGGGUAACAGCUCCA
Molecule: transfer RNA, 76 nt
Filed under: Clostridiales bacterium
Lineage: Bacteria; Bacillati; Bacillota; Clostridia; Eubacteriales
Description: tRNA-Thr
Rfam family: tRNA
About the family: Transfer RNA (tRNA) molecules are approximately 80 nucleotides in length.
Source: RNAcentral